GAUGAACGCUGGCGGCGUGCUUAACACAUGCAAGUCGAACGGAGCCAAGAGAUGCUUGCAUCUUGGAAGCUUAGUGGCGGACGGGUGAGUAACGCGUGAGUAACCUGCCCUUUACCGGGGGAUAACACUUAGAAAUAGGUGCUAAUACCGCAUAAGCGCACAGUGCCGCAUGGUACAGUGUGAAAAACUCCGGUGGUAAAGGAUGGACUCGCGUCUGAUUAGCCAGUUGGCAGGGUAACGGCCUACCAAAGCGACGAUCAGUAGCCGGCCUGAGAGGGUGAACGGCCACAUUGGGACUGAGACACGGCCCAAACUCC
This 317-nucleotide ribosomal RNA is filed under the name uncultured Lachnospiraceae bacterium. RNAcentral's name for it is "bacterial SSU rRNA". It matches the Rfam family "Bacterial small subunit ribosomal RNA", at positions 28 to 339 of the family's 1533-position model. Lineage: Bacteria; Bacillati; Bacillota; Clostridia; Lachnospirales; Lachnospiraceae. The record is from RNAcentral.